Symphalangus syndactylus (siamang) is the source of this 3506-nucleotide long non-coding RNA. RefSeq lists it as uncharacterized. The record is from RefSeq and is a predicted model, not a curated record. NCBI's taxonomy places the organism in Eukaryota, Metazoa, Chordata, Mammalia, Primates, Hylobatidae.
GCAGAGAGAGAGGGGCUUUCCCUGGGACACACGUCUUGCACAUAGCAGCUAAGAGCGCCAGCCAAGCUUCGUCGAUAGCACCAAGGGUCCAGAUGCCAGGAGAGAGACUCCACCCCCAGAGGUGGCUCAAGAGUCCAAGUGAGUCAUGAGGGCUGACCAGCGACCAUAAUGUCCCAGGGUGAAGUGGGAGGCCUGCAGAUGGAGCCCGCUGCAGGGACAGGAACCACAGUGACUCACAGUUGGACCUGGAGGGGAAGUUCCAUCUGCAAAUCCUCUAAAUGGCUCUGGUCCCCGGGUGAGCUCAUCCGCACUGCCGCUGACACUCAGAACCAGGACUGGCUUCUUUCUCCCAGGGCCCGGGUUUUUCACUCUCAAUUAUGGUUAUGGCAGAAACCAACAUUCGAGCCGCAGCACCUCUCCCCUACCCACCACAUACACACACACACAUGAUGGAUGGACCUGGGGAGACAGCGUGUCCUCCUGGAGCGUCAGAGUUUUCAUCUUUAAAAAUAGUCCUUCCUCCUAAUGAUCUCACCACAGAAGCUUUUGGUGCUAUACGGUAGGGAAUGUGACAGUUCUUUAAAAGGAAGUAUGUGAAAUCCACACAAGGCAGUAACAUUGUAAUACCACUGUUUAUAACUUUGGCUCCAGGGACCCGGCCAUGAAGCUACCAUCUUGCUCCAUCUCCCUGGGCCAUUGGUCUGGGAGCAGAAGAUUGCAAGGCACUGGGGAGGAAAGUGUCCACGUUGCCCAGGAGCCUGGCAGGAUCACUCAGAAACAAACUCAACCUUGGGAGAAACACGCAGGGAAAGACCCCACCACUCCCAUUGCCCUUUCCUUCUCUAAGCGUUUCCAGCAGACUGCAAUAUGUCCACAAUUCUAAGGCUUCAUCAGGUAGGAGGGGGUUCUGGUGUGGCCCCCAGCUAGCUCUCCACCAUGUGCAUGAACAGCAAGGUCCCUCAACGAAGCGCACCAGGCAUUCAUUUCCCUUAUAGGUUCUGUUUUCAGAUUACGUGCAGUCACAGGACAGUUGCUAAUCAUCACCAAGACGGGGCCGUCCUGGAAGCAUUCUUAGAAAGACACACUGGUUCUGUGAGCUCUGAAGCACCCUUAGCCUGUCCUGCCUGGAGGAUCAUUGUGGCUGCAGGAAGAGAAAGACAAAAGAGGAAAGACGGCCAAGUUGUCCUUUCUUGGAGGGAGGAGGAAGAUGGGAGGGUGCUAAGAGGCUGCAAGACAACAAGGGGACCCAACAAAGAGCUUCAGGAGACCACGAAGAAUGAUCUCAAGCAGUAUUAGCUGCUCCAUGGCAUGACAAUGUCCCCGUUGGGUGUUCCCUGCACUCUGUACCCCUCAUGCCCUAACACCAUCAGAACAGCAGGAAGAGGGCAUUUGCUGUCUCUCUCUUCCUACCCAUCUUCCCCACUCCAUUUCUUUUUUUUUGCUGCUGGGGCUGCAAUCUGCCAGUGUGAGCCCUGGUGGUUCUGCAGGCAGCAGGGUGAGGAGAGAGACCCUCAUAUGAAGCCACGACCCCAAUGCAAGAGGCUAUCCUGAAUCUGGGAGUCACGGUUGUUGAGGAUCAGUCCCUGAGAUGUGGCACCGUGGCGUUUCACCUCAUCACCACCAUCAAUGUCAUUCUAUGGUAACCUAUGUGUGCCAUUGUGUGCCCAGGACACAAACAGGCACAUUCGAUACCCCUCCUGCUUGGACCCUUCCCCUGCCAUCCCCUCUCCCACUGGCCACCCUGUUGCUCUCAGCUUCCCUGUAAAGAGGACUUUUCACACUGAGUCAGAUGACAGCAUGCUUUGCUCAAAACCCUGCCUGGCUCCCAGGUCCCUCAGAGGGAAGGCCCAAGGCCUCUGGGCCUGACCUGGUCUGAUGGUCACCGCCCCCCUCGGCGCUCAGCACUUACUGAGCUUGAUUCUCAACCACACCAUAUACUCCCGCCUGCUUUGGGCCCCAAUGUACCUGCUCCCUCUGUCCCAAAGGCUCUUCCCCAAAACAUCCUCCUCCAAGUCCAUGCUCAAAUGUCACCUUCUCCAUUCAGCCCUGCAACCUGCCCUCCACCUCUCUCCCUGCACCGCACACUGGAGCUGCCUUUCCUGCCUCUGUAUUGUUUUUUUUUUUUUCCAUAACACUAUCACCUCCUUACAUACUAGAUAAUUUACAUACUUUCUAUUUUUUACUGUUUGGCCUGCCCUACCUUGACAGCCAGUGUGGCUACAGGACAGGAAAGACAAAAGAGGAAUGAUGCCUGACCCAAGGCUUCUCAUCUUUCCUGGCCCCAUGAUAUGGUCUGGCUCUGUCCCUACUCAAAUCUCAUCUUGAAUUGUAGCUCCUAUAACUCCCAGUGUUGUGGGAGAGACCUGGUGGGAGUUAAUUGAAUCAUGGGGGCAGUUUCCCCCAUCCUGUUCUCAUGGUAGUGAAUAAGCCUCACGAGAUCUGAAGGUUUUAUAAGGGGAAAUCCCUUUUGCUUGGUUCUCAUUCUCUAUUGCCUGCCACCACAUAAGACAUGCCUUUCACCUUCCACCAUGAUUGUGAGGCCUCCCCAGCCAUGCGGGGGAGGUAUGUCUGUAUCAGCAGCAUGAAAAUAGACUAAUAUACCCCAUUAGAAGCCAAACUCCAUGCCAGCAGAACGGAGCCUGUUUUGUUCAGUGUCUGUUCUCUGCCUAGAGCAGUGCCAGCAAACAGUGAGUGUCCCAUAAAUAUCUACUAGGUGAGUGAAUGAAUGAAUGAACCGAUGAACAAGUGAAGGGUGGAAUUACUGCCACUCACGGGGAGGAGGCUAUGCAUCUCAUGGAAUGAGCUGGUCUUCAGGGUGGGGUUCCCUGGGGAGUGGGGGCAGAGGGCUGGCAAAGGCAGAAAGUGCUGCUUCCAGAAAGGCAGUGCCUGCAGUUUGCCUGGAAAUCCCCUUAGCAUCACUCAUUAACUAACCCCCACGCCAAUACACAUCCAAACCCAAACAGUAGCUGAAGAGUAACUUCAACCAUAGACUCUCUUUCCAGGCUGACGCUCCCACUGGUGAGUACAUGCCAUCAUCUGGGCACCUACUGCGUGCUCCUUGGAUCCCAGGAUGAGCAGUGAAGAAAGGAUGGCGGGGGAUGAAAGAGAUCCCCUCCCACCCUCAUCCCACUCUCAAGGCACUAGCUGGAAGGCAGAGCCAGCACUGCAGGUGAAGCUCUGAAGCACCCACCGAGACAGCCAGAAACCUCUAAUUCCGCCUAGAAAAAUAAGGGAAGAGUUACACCAGGAGGCAAGAUAAUGAAACUCAUCUUGAAGCUUAAAUGUGGAUGGAGUGGUUCUUCAGUGCCAGACAGCUCCCCGCAAGCACAUAGGAGUUUAAUAGCUGUUUAUUCUUCCAUAUAGACUAAAACUACAUUCAUCAGAAAAAGGGCAGUAAUUCAUUUCCUAUUCCAAUUAUGGAUACGGCAAACUGAAGAACAUUUUCAAAGAAAUACAGUUUAUUAUGAUCACAAACUUGACCUAGAAUAAACUAAGAUGUAAAUGGA